UGAGUGUUAUGAUGAUGGAACUUUGAAUAGUUCUUAGUCUAGCUCUGGUCUACCGCUGGGAA
RNAcentral lists this non-coding RNA (62 nucleotides) under uncultured Streptococcus sp. RNAcentral's name for it is "L17 ribosomal protein downstream element". It matches the Rfam family "L17 ribosomal protein downstream element", at positions 1 to 63 of the family's 78-position model. The record is from RNAcentral. Lineage: Bacteria; Bacillati; Bacillota; Bacilli; Lactobacillales; Streptococcaceae.